CGUGAGGGAAAGGUGAAAAGAACCCCGGGAGGGGAGUGAAAGAGAACCUGAAACCCUGCACUUACAAGCUGUAGGAGCACAUUUCUUGUGUGACUGCGUACUUUUUGUAGAACGGGCCAACGAGUUACGUUGUGUAGCAAGGUUAAGCACUUAAGGUGUGGAGCCGUAGCGAAAGCGAGUCUUAAAUGGGCGUCUAGUUACCCGACGUAGACCCGAAACCAGGCGACCUAUCCAUGAGCAGGUUGAAGCGAAAGUAAAAUUUCGUGGAGGACCGAACCCACGUACGUUGAAAAGUGCGGGGAUGACUUGUGGAUAGCGGUGAAAUUCCAAUCGAGCCUGGAGAUAGCUGGUUCUCCCCGAAAUAGCUUUAGGGCUAGCCUCAAGAUUAGAGAAGCGGAGGUAGAGCACUGAAUGUCCUAGGGGGUAUUGCACUUACCGAAGACUAUCAAACUCCGAAUGCCGUAUUCUUUUGCUUGGGAGUCAGACUAUGGGUGAUAAGAUUCAUAGUCAAGAGGGCAACAGCCCAGAUCGUCAGCUAAGGUCCCUAAAUGUAAGUUAAGUGGUAAAGGAUGUGGAAUUGCACAGACAACCAGGAUGUUGGCUUAGAAGCAGCCACUCAUUUAAAGAGUGCGUAAUAGCUCACUGGUCGAGUGAUUCUGCGCCGAAAAUUUCCGGGGCUAAAACUUACUACCGAAGCUACGGCAUCAUUAUGAUGGGUAGGGGAGCUUUCUAUACGGGUUGAAGCAUGACCGUAAGGACAUGUGGACUGUAUAGAAGUGAGAAUGUUGGCAUGAGUAGCGAGAUGUGGGUGAGAAUCCCACAGGCCGUAAACCCAAGGUUUCCAGGGGAAGGUUCGUCCGCCCUGGGUUAGUCAGGACCUAAGCCGAGGCCGAAAGGCGUAGGUGAUGGACAACAGGUUGAUAUUCCUGUACCACCAAUAACCGUUUGAGAAAUGGGAUGACACAGUAGGAUAAGCUAACCGCACUGUUGGUUAUGUGCGGGCAAGUAUUGAGGCAGUUCCGAUAGGCAAAUCCGUCGGAAUAAUGCUGGGGUACGAUGCGGAGCGAAAUUAAGUAGCGAAGUAGCUGAUUUCACACUGUCGAGAAAAGUCUCUAUCGAGGUUAAAGGUGCCUGUACCGCAAACCGACACAGGUGGGUGAGGAGAGUAUCCUAAGGCCAGCGAGAGAACUGUUGUUAAGGAACUCGGCAAAAUGACCCCGUAACUUAGGGAGAAGGGGUGCCUUCGAAAGAAGGCCGCAGAGAAUAGGCCCAAGCGACUGUUUACCAAAAACAUAGGUUUCUGCUAAGUCGCAAGACGAUGUAUAGGAGCUGACGCCUGCCCGGUGCUGGAAGGUUAAGGGGAUCUGUUAGAGCAAUCGAAGCAGUGAACUUAAGCCCCAGUAAACGGCGGCCGUAACUAUAACGGUCCUAAGGUAGCGAAAUUCCUUGUCGGGUAAGUUCCGACCCGCACGAAAGGCGUAACGAUUUGGGCACUGUCUCAACAACAGACUCGGUGAAAUUGUAAUACCGGUGAAGAUGCCGGUUACCUGCGACAGGACGGAAAGACCCCAUGGAGCUUUACUGUAGCUUGACAUUGAGUCUCGGUGCUACAUGUACAGGAUAGGUGGGAGACUAUGAAGCAUGGACGUCAGUCUGUGUGGAGUCAUCCUUGGGAUACCACCCUUGUAGUACUGGGAUUCUAACCAGAGGCCAUGAAUCUGGUCUUGGGACACUGUCAGGUGGACAGUUUGACUGGGGCGGUCAGGUAGUCUUCCUGGGAUCUUAACCUUGCGGGGGGAAA
RNAcentral lists this ribosomal RNA (1801 nucleotides) under human gut metagenome. Its description in RNAcentral is "bacterial LSU rRNA". It matches the Rfam family "Bacterial large subunit ribosomal RNA", at positions 502 to 2337 of the family's 2925-position model. The record is from RNAcentral.